CCUUCCCAAUAUGUGCCGCCGCCGGCCAGCCUCCAUCCCGCGCGCCCGCCGGCGACCCUCCAGUCCUCCACCUCGCGCGCCAGCCGGACACCCUCUACCUCACGCGCCUGCCGGCCACCCUCCAUCCUGCGCGCUCGCCGGCCGACUCCCUCCAAGCCGCACCGACGGCCUCACUUCCCGACGUGCCAGCAGUGUCCCUGCGCCUGCUCCGGCCGCCUCCCUCUACCAGCGCCGCCGUCUUCCCUCCACCCCAGCACUCGUCCUUCCUCCACCCCAGCGCCGCCGGCCUCCCUCUCACCCCCUCCGGUUCCCUCGCCCACCGCCACCACCUUCUCCCGCCCCCGCCGCCUCACCAAGAUCCACCGGGGCCUCUGUUCCCACUGCUGGUGUGACCGUCGCCCCCACUAACACCUCCAUUCGCCGCCACGGACGCAGUGGCCCCGCGUGCCACCGCCUCCUCCUUCAGGCCAGUUGGUUCCGUCGGCCUCCUCGCCGCAUCCGUCCAAUUUCGGCGGGACCUCGGCCGGCCAGACACACUCCCUCGUACUGUCGUGCGUCCUUCAUCAAACGGCCGGACCCGGUGUCCUCCUCCAAUAUGUGCAGAGAAGCUGCAGAACAAAAAUGAAAGAAAAACCAUGUUUUAUAUUGUUGUUAUUUUGUUGCCCUCAACGGUAGUCUGUGGCACUUGGCAAUUUUUCAACGAGACGACAAUGCGGUUAAAUAGCAGCAGAGAAUUGUCUCGCUCUCUGCGCCUCGUUGAAAAAAUCGAGCAUCGGCAUCCUUCAGCAGUGAGAAGCUGUGGGGGUCAAGUACGUCCAACUCGGCAGUCCAACUCGAUAGUCCAACUCGGCGAGAUUCACUUUAUCGUCGCCCCAUGUUAACUAGCAAGACCUUCUCCGCCGGCACUAUCAGUAGUCUUACUUCUCCAUGACGACAAGAACAACAACGCCUGAUGGAUAAUUUGACAAAGAAUUUUGAGUCGAACAAUGGCAAAAAUUCAGAGGAGACAAUGGGAGAAGUUCAAAGAAAAUUCGGACUUGUAUAGUAACUAAGGAGGAAGCAGCAGCGCCGCUCGGUCUAGGAAUCCAGGUAGCUGUCUCCCCCUGCACCCUUCCCAUGGAUCCCUAGAUAAGUUCAAAUAUCUUAGAACAGAUAAUUCAACUUGUUUCAACGGCAUCUAAUGCAGAUGGCUUGCAUUUUGUGCUCCGUGUGUGUUUGUUCUUAUUCCUAAAAGAAAGAAAAAAAUGUAUUGCAUUUGAUAGUUCAUCCGAAUAUAUAUCAACAACAGUGCAAUGGCAGAAAAAACAUCAGUUCAAAAUGUAUGUGCAGGAGGUUUGGGAGCCAAAAGGCUGAUAUUUUGUUGUGUUUAAAUUUUUCGGGUGCAUGAUUGAGCAAGAUAUAAAUAAAAAAUGAUGUAUGAUAUAUAUUCUUUUCUUGUAUGAGGUUCAAAUAUUGUCGUGGAGCAUGUUCAAGAGUUUAGCUUCCGUGAGUCGUCCAUCGUCUUCCCACAUCUAGCAUCAGAGUCUCUCCCCCCCUUGUCGCGCACACAGUCCAGGCUGCCGAGCACCUCCUCAGGUGAGAGGGCGGUGAGGCCCUACCAUCUCCCGGUGAUGGCUUGUCGGCACCCCCUGCAGAUUCACCUCUCACCAUGGGACAGAGUCUUCAUGUAUGAACUAGAUCGUCGCCUACAAGCUCUGCUCCAGUUCAUAGCACUGGCUCUGGCAGCCACAACGCCCCAUCUUCCCUGGCUCCCACACCACCGCGCCAUCUCCUCCCGGUGGGGCUCCGCCACUGGAGCGACCUGGCUGUUCACAGCCACCACGUCUGUCUAUUCACCUGUACAAAGAUGUCCACAGGCCGAGAUCAUCUUACAUGUCAAGCACCAAACCGACACCCCUGGUACCCACCGCGACUUGUGCUGCUGUUGCUAGUGUGGAUGUGUACCAAGUUCAACUACCAGUCUACUCCGAGUUCAGGUAUAUUGUCGUGGACGACCAAGUUCAGGGAUGCCUCUGUCCCUAAGGCAAGUUGUAAUAGUCCUAUUUAGUACUACUUGUUAGCGUUUUUUAACUCUCUUCAUUUCUUUAUAAUAUGUUAGUUCAAUUUUGCUAAUUCCUACAAUUCUCUAGUUAGAAAACCAGUGGAUCAUUUUUUUAGUUCCUGUGGUCUACAAAAUUAUUUGACCACCGUCAUUGGCUGUUCUUCUUCGACAUUCCUAAAGUUCAGGUUUUGUCGUCUCAUCCUUGUAUCUCUAUGUAUGUUCAAUCGUUGCUCGCUUAAGAGUUCAAAAACGAAGAUUUCGAGAAGUGAUCUCUAAAUAUUUUCUUGAUCACUAAACAUGACCAAUUGUAGCAUGUUUCCUGAAAUAUUUUAGCAUGUUUUAUGUUUUCAUCGACAAAGUUCACACACUACUGUCUCGGACGUUCAAACAUUUGUUUCCCUGAUGUUCAAAUAUUAUCGUCUAGGAAUACAUGCUGUAACUUCGAGAGAAAAGUUCAUGUUGAUUACUGCCGUCAAGUGUAAAAGUUCGCCAAUAUACAAUCUAUAAUUUCAAUAUCCAGUACAUUAGUUUAGUAGUUGGUACUAACUACUCCAGUGUUUUAUUUGAUGUACCUGUGGUGUCUAGUUUCUUCUGUCAGGUCAAUUUCUAAAUUUCAUCCAGUUCAAUUCAUAUUGUAGCUCCAAUUUAGUCCACGUGGUUAAUUGUUGGAGGGUGUGUGUGUGUGCAGGGUACUGUGAUAUUGAGUAGGCGUGGAGUGUAUCACUCCAGCACGCUAAGCUCCAGUGCAUGUCAACAUCUUCUCCACUGUAAUGGAAGCUCCUCCGUUCGAGUUGAGCACUAGUCAUCAUCCAAGUUGAGCACUAGGUGCCGUCCAAGUUCAAAGAGGGUUGUAUGCAAGUACAUAAGUUUGUUUUAGUGAGAAAAAUGCAGGGUUUUGACAAUAUUCUGUAUAAUUCAUUUAUUCAACCUUAGAACUUGGCGAUAUUCGGCCUAUUUUUCUA
Long non-coding RNA from Triticum dicoccoides, 3003 nucleotides. RefSeq lists it as uncharacterized. The record is from RefSeq and is a predicted model, not a curated record. Lineage: Eukaryota; Viridiplantae; Streptophyta; Magnoliopsida; Poales; Poaceae. The transcript is spliced from 6 exons.